Molecule: ribosomal RNA, 440 nt
Filed under: uncultured bacterium
Lineage: Bacteria
Description: partial 16S ribosomal RNA
Rfam family: Bacterial small subunit ribosomal RNA
Source: RNAcentral
CCUACGGGAGGCAGCAGUGGGGGAUAUUGCACAAUGGGGGAAACCCUGAUGCAGCGACGCCGCGUGAGUGAAGACGUAUCUCGGUAUGUAAAGCUCUAUCAGCAGGGAAGAAAAUGACAGUACCUGACCAAGAAGCCCCGGCUAACUACGUGCCAGCAGCCGCGGGAAAACGUAGGCGGCAAGCGUUAUCCGGAUUUACUGGGUGUAAAGGGGGCGUAGACGGUUUGGUAAGUCUGGAGUGAAAGCCCCGGGCCCAACCCCCGGACUGCUUUGGAAACUGUGUAACUGGAGUGCGGGAGGGGCAGGCGGAAUGCCUGGUGUAGCGGUGAAAUGCGUAGAUAUCAGGAGGAACACCGGCGGCGAAGGCGGCCUGCUGGACUGAAACUGACGUUGAGGCUCGAAAGCGUGGGGAGCAAACAGGAUUAGAUACCCGAGUAGUC